Molecule: long non-coding RNA, 534 nt
Organism: Jatropha curcas
Lineage: Eukaryota; Viridiplantae; Streptophyta; Magnoliopsida; Malpighiales; Euphorbiaceae
Source: RefSeq, a predicted model, not a curated record
AUUAAGUUGUCCCUUUCUCGCUACUCAACAAUGGCGAUAAAUAUUAAGUUGUCUAUAUAAUAUCUUCAUCUUCAUAGAAUUUUCUUGUGACGCACCACCAACCAACUAGUUGUCGAAUAUUUUUUUUAAGUCUCGCUUUGAGAUAUAUAGACUCAGAGAAAGAUGCCACCACCGGGUUGGGGACCGCCGCCGGGAGGACCUCCGGGACCAGGCUGUUUCGGAUGCUGUGAUUUUCUCUGCAAUGGGAUAUGCAGGCUUGCAUCUUCUUGUUUGUAUUUCCUUUGCUGCUGUUGCAUCCUAGAGAGUUGCUGUGGGCCAGUGUUUGGCGGUCCACCAGGGCCUCCCGGUCCACCUGGGCCUCCCGGUCCACCUCGAUUCUGAUCAGCCAUCGUUACCUCAGACUCAGAGAUGGUAUAUAUAAGUUGAUAUUGUUAGCAGGUUGUCCUGUUAUUUGUGUGAUAGAAGUGCAUUUCUAUGAGCACUCAUAUCUUGUAUUUCUCUUUCUGCUAUAUAAGAAUUUCCUUCAUUCACUAA